Molecule: unclassified non-coding RNA, 199 nt
Filed under: soil metagenome
Description: partial internal transcribed spacer 1
Source: RNAcentral
CCGAGUUUACAACUCCCAAACCCAAUGUGAACGUUACCAAACUGUUGCCUCGGCGGGAUCUCUGCCCCGGGUGCGCCGCAGCCCCGGACCAAGGCGCCCGCCGGAGGACCAACCAAAACUCUUAUUGUAUACCCCCUCGCGGGUUUUUUACUAUCUGAGCCAUCUCGGCGCCCCUCGUGGGCGUUUCGAAAAUGAAUCA